This 768-nucleotide long non-coding RNA is filed under the name Vitis vinifera (wine grape). RNAcentral's name for it is "long non-coding RNA (VVIN_LNC006886)". Lineage: Eukaryota; Viridiplantae; Streptophyta; Magnoliopsida; Vitales; Vitaceae. The record is from RNAcentral.
CACAGAAAAAUUAUAUUAAAAGAGGGUAGCAAGAAGGCAACCCGAAGCAUACAGGGAGUAUACACGAGAAGCCCCAUAAACAAAAAGCAAAAAGAAGCAUACACUCACCAACCCUCAAUUAGAGCCCAACCAAUCUACAAAGUUAAUUAAGGAGCGGGGCUCUCCAUCUAAACAAGACUUAGUCCAAGAGGAAAGAUUACAAACGAAGGAGAUUUUCAAUCUUUGGAUCGACAAAGCCUCAUUAUCAAAAACUAUCCUAUUUCUUUCUUUCCACAUCGUCCAAAAUAAACAAAGGGGGGCUGCCCGCCAAAUCUUCCCAGGCUUCUUGUCUACAAAGGAAGCGGACCAGCCAAGGAGAGUGUCUUUAACCGUGAGCUGAAGGACCCAAUUAACCCUAAACAACGUAAACACAAGAUUCCACAACACCCUCGCCUUGGGGCAAUGAAUAAGGAUGUGGUUAAUUGUCUCCUCAUCAUCACAACAUAAGAAGCAUCUGUUUGCUAGAGACCAGCCCCUCAUUUGAGAUGAUCUUUGGUUAAUACCUUCCCCCAAGAAGCUUCCCAAACAAAAAAACCCACCUUAGUAGGCACGCAAGGGCUCCAUAUGAUUCUCCACGGAAACGGGACUGCACCACCAGAAUCAAGAGAAUUGUAAAGGGAUUUUACAGAGAAAAUCCCGUUCUUAGAAGCAUUCCACACCACUCUAUCCUCCAUCCCAACAUUGAGCCUCUUUCCUUGAAGGACCGAAAGGAGACUCGCCACCGCCUCC